This 446-nucleotide ribosomal RNA is filed under the name uncultured bacterium. Its description in RNAcentral is "partial 16S ribosomal RNA". It matches the Rfam family "Bacterial small subunit ribosomal RNA", at positions 29 to 506 of the family's 1533-position model. The record is from RNAcentral.
AACGAACGCUAUCGGUAUGCUUAACACAUGCAAGUCGGACGGACUAAUUAGGGUUUGCUCCGGUUUGUUAGUGGCAGACGGGUGAGUAACACGUGGGAAUCUGCCCAUCAGUACGGAAUAACUUUUAGAAAUAAAAUCUAAUACCGUAUAUUCUCUACAGAAGAAAGAUUUAUCGCUGAUGGAUGAGCCAGCGUCAGAUUAGGUAGUUGGUGAGGUAACGGCUCACCAAGCCGACGAACUGUAGCUGGUCUGAGAGGAUGAUCAGCCACACUGGGACUGACACAAGGGCCAGACUUCGACGGGAGGCAGCAGUGGGGAAUAUUGGACGCCGGGCGAAAGACUGAUCCAGCAAUACCGUGUGAGUGAUUAAGGUCGUAGGGAUGUAAAGCUCUUUUAGCCAGGAAGAUAUGGACGUUACUAGAAGAAAAAGCCCCGCCAAAUUCCGG